AACGAACGCUGGCGGCAGGCUUAACACAUGCAAGUCGAACGCCCCGCAAGGGGAGUGGCAGACGGGUGAGUAACGCGUGGGAAUCUACCGUGCCCUGCGGAAUAGCUCCGGGAAACUGGAAUUAAUACCGCGUACGCCCUACGGGGGAAAGAUUUAUCGGGGUAUGAUGAGCCCGCGUUGGAUUAGCUAGUUGGUGGGGU
Molecule: ribosomal RNA, 200 nt
Filed under: uncultured bacterium
Lineage: Bacteria
Description: partial 16S ribosomal RNA
Rfam family: Bacterial small subunit ribosomal RNA
Source: RNAcentral